RNAcentral lists this ribosomal RNA (1438 nucleotides) under uncultured organism. Its description in RNAcentral is "SSU rRNA". It matches the Rfam family "Bacterial small subunit ribosomal RNA". The record is from RNAcentral.
CUCAUGAUGAACGCUAGCUACAGGCUUAACACAUGCAAGUCGAGGGGCAUCAGGAAGAAAGCUUGCUUUCUUUGCUGGCGACCGGCGCACGGGUGAGUAACACGUAUCCAACCUGCCCUUUACUCGGGGAUAGCCUUUCGAAAGAAAGAUUAAUACCCGAUAGCAUAAUGAUUCCGCAUGGUUUCAUUAUUAAAGGAUUCCGGUAAAGGAUGGGGAUGCGUUCCAUUAGGUUGUUGGUGAGGUAACGGCUCACCAAGCCUUCGAUGGAUAGGGGUUCUGAGAGGAAGGUCCCCCACAUUGGAACUGAGACACGGUCCAAACUCCUACGGGAGGCAGCAGUGAGGAAUAUUGGUCAAUGGGCGCUAGCCUGAACCAGCCAAGUAGCGUGAAGGAUGAAGGCUCUAUGGGUCGUAAACUUCUUUUAUAUAAGAAUAAAGUGCAGUAUGUAUACUGUUUUGUAUGUAUUAUAUGAAUAAGGAUCGGCUAACUCCGUGCCAGCAGCCGCGGUAAUACGGAGGAUCCGAGCGUUAUCCGGAUUUAUUGGGUUUAAAGGGAGCGUAGGUGGACUGGUAAGUCAGUUGUGAAAGUUUGCGGCUCAACCGUAAAAUUGCAGUUGAUACUGUCAGUCUUGAGUACAGUAGAGGUGGGCGGAAUUCGUGGUGUAGCGGUGAAAUGCUUAGAUAUCACGAAGAACUCCGAUUGCGAAGGCAGCUCACUGGACUGCAACUGACACUGAUGCUCGAAAGUGUGGGUAUCAAACAGGAUUAGAUACCCUGGUAGUCCACACAGUAAACGAUGAAUACUCGCUGUUUGCGAUAUACAGUAAGCGGCCAAGCGAAAGCAUUAAGUAUUCCACCUGGGGAGUACGCCGGCAACGGUGAAACUCAAAGGAAUUGACGGGGGCCCGCACAAGCGGAGGAACAUGUGGUUUAAUUCGAUGAUACGCGAGGAACCUUACCCGGGCUUAAAUUGCAGUGGAAUGAUGUGGAAACAUGUCAGUGAGCAAUCACCGCUGUGAAGGUGCUGCAUGGUUGUCGUCAGCUCGUGCCGUGAGGUGUCGGCUUAAGUGCCAUAACGAGCGCAACCCUUAUCUUUAGUUACUAACAGGUUAUGCUGAGGACUCUAGAGAGACUGCCGUCGUAAGAUGUGAGGAAGGUGGGGAUGACGUCAAAUCAGCACGGCCCUUACGUCCGGGGCUACACACGUGUUACAAUGGGGGGUACAGAAGGCAGCUAGCGGGUGACCGUAUGCUAAUCCCAAAAGCCUCUCUCAGUUCGGAUCGAAGUCUGCAACCCGACUUCGUGAAGCUGGAUUCGCUAGUAAUCGCGCAUCAGCCACGGCGCGGUGAAUACGUUCCCGGGCCUUGUACACACCGCCCGUCAAGCCAUGGGAGCCGGGGGUACAUGAAGUACGUAACCGCAAGGAUCGUCCUAGGGUA